This 468-nucleotide ribosomal RNA is filed under the name uncultured bacterium. Its description in RNAcentral is "partial 16S ribosomal RNA". It matches the Rfam family "Bacterial small subunit ribosomal RNA", at positions 28 to 507 of the family's 1533-position model. The record is from RNAcentral.
GACGAACGCUGGCGGCGUGCUUAACACAUGCAAGUCGAACGGAAAGGCCCUGCUUUUGUGGGGUGCUCGAGUGGCGAACGGGUGAGUAACACGUGAGUAACCUGCCCUUGACUUUGGGAUAACUUCAGGAAACUGGGGCUAAUACCGGAUAGGAGCUCCUGCUGCAUGGUGGGGGUUGGAAAGUUUCGGCGGUUGGGGAUGGACUCGCGGCUUAUCAGCUUGUUGGUGGGGUAGUGGCUUACCAAGGCUUUGACGGGUAGCCGGCCUGAGAGGGUGACCGGCCACAUUGGGACUGAGAUACGGCACAGACUCCUACGGGAGGCAGCAGUGGGGAAUAUUGCACAAUGGGCGGAAGCCUGAUGCAGCAACGCCGCGUGCGGGAUGACGGCCUUCGGGUUGUAAACCGCUUUCGCCUGUGACGAAGCGUGUGUGACGGUAAUGGGUAAAGAAGCACCGGCUAACUACGUG